RNAcentral lists this ribosomal RNA (1540 nucleotides) under Staphylococcus aureus VET0436R. RNAcentral's name for it is "16S ribosomal RNA". It matches the Rfam family "Bacterial small subunit ribosomal RNA". Lineage: Bacteria; Bacillati; Bacillota; Bacilli; Caryophanales; Staphylococcaceae. The record is from RNAcentral.
AGAGUUUGAUCCUGGCUCAGGAUGAACGCUGGCGGCGUGCCUAAUACAUGCAAGUCGAGCGAACGGACGAGAAGCUUGCUUCUCUGAUGUUAGCGGCGGACGGGUGAGUAACACGUGGAUAACCUACCUAUAAGACUGGGAUAACUUCGGGAAACCGGAGCUAAUACCGGAUAAUAUUUUGAACCGCAUGGUUCAAAAGUGAAAGACGGUCUUGCUGUCACUUAUAGAUGGAUCCGCGCUGCAUUAGCUAGUUGGUAAGGUAACGGCUUACCAAGGCAACGAUGCAUAGCCGACCUGAGAGGGUGAUCGGCCACACUGGAACUGAGACACGGUCCAGACUCCUACGGGAGGCAGCAGUAGGGAAUCUUCCGCAAUGGGCGAAAGCCUGACGGAGCAACGCCGCGUGAGUGAUGAAGGUCUUCGGAUCGUAAAACUCUGUUAUUAGGGAAGAACAUAUGUGUAAGUAACUGUGCACAUCUUGACGGUACCUAAUCAGAAAGCCACGGCUAACUACGUGCCAGCAGCCGCGGUAAUACGUAGGUGGCAAGCGUUAUCCGGAAUUAUUGGGCGUAAAGCGCGCGUAGGCGGUUUUUUAAGUCUGAUGUGAAAGCCCACGGCUCAACCGUGGAGGGUCAUUGGAAACUGGAAAACUUGAGUGCAGAAGAGGAAAGUGGAAUUCCAUGUGUAGCGGUGAAAUGCGCAGAGAUAUGGAGGAACACCAGUGGCGAAGGCGACUUUCUGGUCUGUAACUGACGCUGAUGUGCGAAAGCGUGGGGAUCAAACAGGAUUAGAUACCCUGGUAGUCCACGCCGUAAACGAUGAGUGCUAAGUGUUAGGGGGUUUCCGCCCCUUAGUGCUGCAGCUAACGCAUUAAGCACUCCGCCUGGGGAGUACGACCGCAAGGUUGAAACUCAAAGGAAUUGACGGGGACCCGCACAAGCGGUGGAGCAUGUGGUUUAAUUCGAAGCAACGCGAAGAACCUUACCAAAUCUUGAUAUCCUUUGACAACUCUAGAGAUAGAGCCUUCCCCUUCGGGGGACAAAGUGACAGGUGGUGCAUGGUUGUCGUCAGCUCGUGUCGUGAGAUGUUGGGUUAAGUCCCGCAACGAGCGCAACCCUUAAGCAUAGUUGCCAUCAUUAAGUUGGGCACUCUAAGUUGACUGCCGGUGACAAACCGGAGGAAGGUGGGGAUGACGUCAAAUCAUCAUGCCCCUUAUGAUUUGGGCUACACACGUGCUACAAUGGACAAUACAAAGGGCAGCGAAACCGCGAGAUCAAGCAAAUCCCAUAAAGUUGUUCUCAGUUCGGAUUGUAGUCUGCAACUCGACUACAUGAAGCUGGAAUCGCUAGUAAUCGUAGAUCAGCAUGCUACGGUGAAUACGUUCCCGGGUCUUGUACACACCGCCCGUCACACCACGAGAGUUUGUAACACCCGAAGCCGGUGGAGUAACCUUUUAGGAGCUAGCCGUCGAAGGUGGGACAAAUGAUUGGGGUGAAGUCGUAACAAGGUAGCCGUAUCGGAAGGUGCGGCUGGAUCACCU